RNAcentral lists this ribosomal RNA (1536 nucleotides) under Triticum aestivum (bread wheat). RNAcentral's name for it is "partial small subunit ribosomal RNA". The record is from RNAcentral. Lineage: Eukaryota; Viridiplantae; Streptophyta; Magnoliopsida; Poales; Poaceae.
AUGAAAGGUGGCGGUGUCAAAAUCUUGUCGCGGCGCAUGGUCAUGCCGGAGUACGAAGCGAGCUCGCGGCCUCGGGAGCCUGACACCGUCCACCUGACGCCAUGGGACCUGCGGCGGAUCACCGUUGACUACAUCCAGAAGGGCGUCCUCCUGCCCAAGCCUCCGACCGGCGUCCACGUCGUCGAACACCUCGCGUCGUCCUUCGCGCGCGCCCUGGGCCGCUUCUACCCCCUCGCCGGCCGCUUUACCGUCGCGCCAGUGGCCAACGACGGCAACGGGGCGCCGUCACCUCGACCGGGCCUCACGAUCUCGCUUCGCUGCAGCGACGAAGGCGCCGAGUUCGUCCACGCCGUGGCGCCCGGGGUCACCGUCGCCGACAUCACCGGGGCGCUCUGCACCCCACGUGUGGUCUGGUCCUUCUUCCCUCUCAACGGGGUGCUCGGGACGGACGCGGUCGUCGACCCCAGCCUGCCGCUCCUGGCCGCGCAGGUCACCGAGCUCGCCGACGGCGUCUUCGUCGCCAUGUCGCUCAACCACUGUGCCGCCGACGGGACGACGUUCUGGGACCUGUUCAACACAUGGUCGGAGAUCAGCCGAAACAAGAGCGGCAUAUCUACGGCGCCGCCACUCCGGGUUCAGAGGUGGUUCCACGACGGCUGCCCCGUGCCGAUCCCUCUGCCGUUCGCCAAGGUGCAAGACAUGGCCAGGCGGUUCGAGUAUCCGCCGGUGCAGGAAUGCUCGAUCCAUUUCUCCCCGGAGAGCAUAAAGAAGCUGAAGGCGAAGGCCAAUGCCGAGAUGGCCGGCACGGCCACGGCCACCAUCUCGUCUCUGCAGGCCCUGUUCGCGCACCUAUGGCGAGCGGUGUGUCGAGCCCGGGGGCUGGCGCCGGAGCAGGAGACGAAGCUCACGCUCCCCAUGGGAUGCCGGACACGCAUAAAGGGCAUUCCGCAGGGCUACAUCGGCAACGCGGUGGCAGGCGCAGUCGGCAGGACGCCCGUCGGCGAGAUCCUGGGAGACGGCCGGCUGGGCCGGACGGCGUGGCUCCUGAACCGCGCCGUCGCCUCGUUCGACGAGGCGGGCUUGACGGCCGAGCUCGCGUCUUGGUCCCGAAACCCCAGCUUCCGGUACGCGGCCGACUACGGCACGGAGCCUGCGGUGCUGGUGAUGAGCAGCUCGCCGCGGUUCGACGUGUACGGCAACGACUUCGGGUGGGGCAGGCCGGUGGCCGUCCGGAGCGGCGCCGGGAGCAAGCUGGACGGGAUGGUCACGGUGUACGAGGACGGCGGAGGGAGUGGCGGCAUGGAGCUGGAGGUGUGCCUCGCUCCUGAUGUGCUCGUCAGGCUCGUCGCCGACGAAGAGCUGAUGGGAGCGUCGGUAGGAGCUCGACUGGCCCGAGGCGGUAGGUGCACCGGCGGUGCAUCGGAGGAGUUUGCCGGUGGAGGCAUGCAUCAGUCAUACUCAUACAGUACUGCUGGUGAACUCAUGCCUGAGCCCCAGUACGAGAACCAAAUAAUGUCGCGCAAGAUGGAAGUCUAG